This 85-nucleotide transfer RNA is filed under the name Felis catus (domestic cat). It matches the Rfam family "tRNA". From Rfam's summary of the family: Transfer RNA (tRNA) molecules are approximately 80 nucleotides in length. Their secondary structure includes four short double-helical elements and three loops (D, anti-codon, and T loops). Further hydrogen bonds mediate the characteristic L-shaped molecular structure. tRNAs have two regions of fundamental functional importance: the anti-codon, which is responsible for specific mRNA codon recognition, and the 3' end, to which the tRNAs corresponding amino acid is attached (by aminoacyl-tRNA synthetases). tRNAs cope with the degeneracy of the genetic code in two manners: having more than one tRNA (with a specific anti-codon) for a particular amino acid; and 'wobble' base-pairing, i.e. permitting non-standard base-pairing at the 3rd anti-codon position. Lineage: Eukaryota; Metazoa; Chordata; Mammalia; Carnivora; Felidae. The record is from Rfam by way of RNAcentral.
GCCUGGGUGGCUCAGUUGGUUGAGCAACUGACUUCGGCUCAGGUCAUGAUCUCACAGUUUGUGAGUUCGAGCCCCGCGUCAGGCU